Cervus elaphus (red deer) is the source of this 143-nucleotide long non-coding RNA. RefSeq lists it as uncharacterized. The record is from RefSeq and is a predicted model, not a curated record. Lineage: Eukaryota; Metazoa; Chordata; Mammalia; Artiodactyla; Cervidae. The transcript is spliced from 3 exons.
CAUCCAGUGGCAUCUUAGGAAAAUAAACACAACCCUUCUUACCUUUCAUGCCAAACUUGGAGUGUCUUGCCAACUUUAGCAGAAAUAGCAUUACCAGUAGACAAAAUCCCACUACAGAUGCAAUUACCACCACAGCAUAGACC